UGCCUCGCGUACAAGAAGACAAUAAACAAAAUGUCCACAUUUUAGCUUCCAUUGUGUGCCUGAGGAAGAAGACCGAAAGACGAAGUUGGUUCAGCCGCAAUGAGAGGAGGAGGCCCAUUUUUUAAAAUAACGAAGUCACGAUGCUCUAGAGAUUAGGACUACAUAACUGCGGUCUUGCACUUUGACAAGGCUUUCCCUGUGCACUACACGUCAUCACCAGCAGAGGUCAGAGGACCCUCUUGCGGUCGGGAAGCUGAGAGGAUGGAGCAGCACUGGAGCCGGCCGUCUGGGGUAAGCUCUAUUCCAAGAGGUAACCGUGGUGACAGAACAUUCCAAACACGGGACCAGAAACCGCAUCAAGGAGCCAGCGAGGACCCAGAGGCGUGAUCCCCGGCCAGACCUCAGGCGUGAUCACGGCCAGCUGCCGCACAGGCUUACCUGCCCUUUAUAAAAUAUUAUAGAGAACAACCAGCAGGCGUAUGGGGCGGUAAUUAACGAGGCUGUUGUUUGUGUGUGAGGGAGGGAGACGGCCGGGCUGGCGGGUCGGCAGGGGAAAUCACAGCUGUUUAUUCACAGGGCUGAGGUCCAGCGA
Molecule: long non-coding RNA, 592 nt
Organism: Anguilla rostrata (American eel)
Lineage: Eukaryota; Metazoa; Chordata; Actinopteri; Anguilliformes; Anguillidae
Exons: 4
Source: RefSeq, a predicted model, not a curated record